Nerophis ophidion (straightnose pipefish) is the source of this 82-nucleotide non-coding RNA. The record is from the annotation of a RefSeq genome assembly. NCBI's taxonomy places the organism in Eukaryota, Metazoa, Chordata, Actinopteri, Syngnathiformes, Syngnathidae.
GUCAGGAUGGCCAAACGGUCAAAGGCGCUGCAUUCAGGUUGCAGUCUCUAACGAGGCGUGGGUUCGAAUCCCACUUCUGACA